RNAcentral lists this transfer RNA (72 nucleotides) under Camelus bactrianus (Bactrian camel). It matches the Rfam family "tRNA". Rfam says of the family: Transfer RNA (tRNA) molecules are approximately 80 nucleotides in length. Their secondary structure includes four short double-helical elements and three loops (D, anti-codon, and T loops). The record is from Rfam by way of RNAcentral. Lineage: Eukaryota; Metazoa; Chordata; Mammalia; Artiodactyla; Camelidae. RNAcentral also lists the same sequence under 2 other names.
GAGGCUAUAGCUCAGUGGUAGAACACGUGCUUAGCAUGCAUUGAGGUCCUGGGUUCAAUCCCCUGUACCUCU